GUCUAUUUCUACAUCUCUGUGUAUAUAUAUAUAUAUAUUUUAAAACAAAGCUAUGAGUUUACUCCUUUAUCUCCAGUUCCAAUCUAACACUUCAGGUUUCUCUCUAGACUUCCUCUCUCCAUAUUUAUAAAUCUCUUCUCCAAUUAUGCUCAAUAUUGACUCUGAUAUUUUAACAAACUUGAGAGCAAGGAUCUUUUCUUGCAUUCGCAUUCACCAGAGAGCUGCCAAUGUGUUGAAAAUUCAGGGACUAGAUAAAUCAGUGCUGUUCUUUGGUGCCUGGGCCAGGGGCAACCUUGGCUUUAGCAACAAAACUACAGACUGGAGAAUUUUCAAGAAAUCUGGAGGCUAGUUGUGUGCCUCACUUUCUGCAUGUGACAAGAGAUCUCUUUAACUGACAUUACAGGCUUCUUAAAAUGAGGAAUGAAAAAAAAUAUUCUCAAAGUCUCUCUGAGACUCUCCAGAGACAGGUGCUAUAUAAAUUGAAAGUGUAAUCAUUGUUGCUGUGUGGAAAAAAUGUUCUCCAUCCGUCUUGUUCUACAAUAGAUGGAGAAUGUUUUCCAGGAUCACUGCUCUUCUCAGGCUUCUAAACAGGUAAAACAGCUAAAUAUUGCAUUAGAUGCGAUGGCAUCAGUCAAAAUGAAUUAUAAACAACACUCAACUCUCAUUUUUAAAAUUUAUUUUACUUAAAAAAAAUGCAGCACAACAUAGGGAAUACACAUGAACCUGUCUUGUUACUUCAAGUAGGGAAUGCUUUCAACUCAGGUCAGAUGGGGCAUGCUCUCUGGGGUGAAGCAAUAGACAAUAAGCCAGAAGUGUCGAGGUGGCCUCAACCAAAAAUAACUCUGUCUUUUCUUCAGUUUGCAGCAUCACAGAAAAUGAUGCUCUCUCCUGCCAAGUCCCAUCUUUUGGAAGGAAGAAAUUGAUUAGGUCCUGGAGGUUUUCAUAAAUGCAUCAAAUGACUUUCUUAGCAUCAUCUGAAACAAAAAAUGGGCCAAUUCACAGCUGCAAUCGUUGGGAGAAUUUCCUGUCUGGGAGUCUGGAAACUGCCAAGAGUGGAAAGCUGCAGCCAGCCAGCAAGGGCUCUGUUGUCACUGGCCCAAACAACAACAAAAACAACCGCAACAACAACAACAACAACAAAACAUGCCACGUGUGCACUGGCAUAUACAAACACGCCCACAGAACCAAACCAAGCGGACAAGGCUUCAAGGAGAGCUUCUGGGCGGCUCAUUCCCGUGGUGAGGCAUAUCCCUUGGCAUCGUGCCAUUGCAGUCCAGCUCCCAGCCCCCGCCCCCCCCCACCAUCUGUCAUCAGCGCUCUGCCUACUGUAAGUGUGCCGACACAGUACACGGAGGCUAACAAGUAG
This 1366-nucleotide long non-coding RNA is filed under the name Macaca mulatta (Rhesus monkey). RNAcentral's name for it is "lncRNA (ENSMMUG00000042905.2)". The record is from RNAcentral. Lineage: Eukaryota; Metazoa; Chordata; Mammalia; Primates; Cercopithecidae.